RNAcentral lists this small RNA (82 nucleotides) under Chryseobacterium wanjuense. Its description in RNAcentral is "Flavo-1 RNA". The record is from RNAcentral. Lineage: Bacteria; Pseudomonadati; Bacteroidota; Flavobacteriia; Flavobacteriales; Weeksellaceae.
CCCUAGCCCCGAUUGGAACGACAUCCUUUUUGGUUGCGGGCGGAGCCCGUAACCAAAAAGAUACAGCACUUCGGCAAGCUCA